RNAcentral lists this ribosomal RNA (777 nucleotides) under uncultured Neocallimastigales. RNAcentral describes it as "partial large subunit ribosomal RNA". It matches the Rfam family "Eukaryotic large subunit ribosomal RNA", at positions 26 to 635 of the family's 3401-position model. The record is from RNAcentral. Lineage: Eukaryota; Fungi; Neocallimastigomycota; Neocallimastigomycetes; Neocallimastigales.
CACUGACGUCGCGACGCAUAUCAAUAAGCGGAGGAAAAGAAACUAACAAGGAUUCCCUUAGUAACGGCGAGUGAAGCGGGAAGAGCUCAAAUUUGAAAUCUUCAAGGUUCUACCUUGACGAAUUGUAGUUUAUAGAAGUGUUUUCUGUCUAGUAGAGUGGCAAAAGUUCUUUGGAAUAGGACAUCAUAGAGGGUGAGAAUCCCGUAUUUGGUCAUUCUUUCUAGCUUUGUGAUACACUUUCAACGAGUCGGAUUGUUUGGGAAUGCAGUCCAAAAUGGGUGGUAAAUUUCAUCUAAAGCUAAAUAUUGGCGAGAGACCGAUAGCGAACAAGUACCGUGAGGGAAAGAUGAAAAGAACUUUGAAAAGAGAGUUAAACAGUACGUGAAAUUGUCAAAAGGGAAGCGUUUGACACCAGUGUUGUUUUUCCGAAAAUCAAUUAAGAAUGCUCUUUUGUAUUUUGAGACCGUUAUGACUCAUCGGUACAUUUCUUCGUGUAACUUUCUUAAUGCACUUUUCGGUUAACAAGUCAACAUCAAUUUCUUUUGUUGUAAAAGGGUCAUUGAGGAAGGUGGCUUUCUUUUCGGAGAAAGUGUUUAUAGCCUUGUACCUCUGCAAUCGGAGAGACUGAGGUCUGCAGCGUAGAUCCUUCGGGGUUAGAUACAUUUGUGCUAAGUUAUAGCUUUUCAUAGACAACUUGUUGACUAUGUUAAGUCUUGUAGCUUACUCGCUUAUCGCUAUUUUACCUACGCUUAGGAUGUUGAUCUACAGAGCGAGAGU